RNAcentral lists this ribosomal RNA (277 nucleotides) under uncultured bacterium. RNAcentral describes it as "partial 16S ribosomal RNA". It matches the Rfam family "Bacterial small subunit ribosomal RNA", at positions 28 to 297 of the family's 1533-position model. The record is from RNAcentral.
GACGAACGCUGACGGCGUGCUUUAGACAUGCAAGUCGAACGCGAAAGCCCUUCGGGGUGAGUAGAGUGGCGAACGGGUGAGUAACACGUGGGCAACCUGCCCCUCGCAGGGGGAUAACCGGGGGAAACCCCGGCUAAUACCCCGUACGCUCGUCGGGUCGCAUGGCCCUUCGAGGAAACGGUAGCUUCGGCCAUCCGGCGAGGGAUGGGCCCGCGGUGCAUUAGCUAGUUGGUGGGGUAACGGCCCACCAAGGCGACGAUGCAUAGCUGGUCUGAGA